Molecule: long non-coding RNA, 1448 nt
Organism: Onychostoma macrolepis
Lineage: Eukaryota; Metazoa; Chordata; Actinopteri; Cypriniformes; Cyprinidae
Exons: 3
Source: RefSeq, a predicted model, not a curated record
UAACGUCUCUCUAAUCGCACCAGCACCAGCACCAGCACCAGCACCAGCACCAGCACCAGCACCAGCACCAGCACCAGCACCAGCACCAGCACCAGCACCAGCACCAGCACCAGCACCAGCACCAGCACCAGCACCAGCCCACGGCCAAGGAACAGGAGGAGAGAGAGCACAAACAGCACAGAGGCACCGAUUUCACCUUACUCACCCUGUUUAAACGCCAAUAAAUCCACCCUCCGGGGCAUUUAUACUACAUUCACUUGUCGUGUGAUUCUUCACCCCGUGACAAUACAUUCAGAGAGCAGGUGCGUGUGCAUUCUGAGGGUCAAACUCUGCUGGGGGAGGUUCACACUAGCUUUUUCAGAGUGUUUUCAGCACAUAGUCUUUUAGAUCAGACACCGCACCGCUGAAGAAAAUGUUUCAUGUGUUUUGUUUGUGCUGGUGGAGUCUGACUGGAUUGUUUGGUGACUCAGCAUCAGUGAUCGAAGGAGAUUCUGUCCUUCUACACUGUUACAGAAAUACCUGAAGACGACGAUAUACUGUGGAGUUUUGGACCUGAAACAUCUCUGAUAGCUGAAAUCAGUAAAGCUGCUGGAAUCGUCUCCACAUAUGAUGAUGGUCCUGAUGGGAGAUUCAGAGACAGACUGAAGCUGGACAAUCAGACUGGAUCUCUGAUCAUCACAAACAUCACAACUCAACGUGUUGGACUCUAUGAACUAAAGAUACGUGGAGCUAAACGGUUAACAAAAACAUUAAGUGUUUAUGUCUAUGCUCGUCUUCCUGUUCCUAUCAUUAGCAACAACUCUAAACUGUUCUUCAUCAUCAUCAUUAUCAUCACAGCAGAAUUGUUCAUUGUUGUGUUCAGUGGCGAAUGCGAGUCAUGUGACUCUCUCCUGGUACAAAGGAAACAGUUUAUUGUCCAGCAUCAGUGUGUCUGAUCUCAGCAUCAGUCUCUCUCUACCUCUGGAGGUGGAAUAUCAGGAUACAGCUGUGUGCUCAACAAUCCCAUCAACAACCGACAACAACAGACGAGACAUCUGGACAUCAGUCAGCUCUGUCAAACAUGUUCAGGUGUGUUUGUGCGGAUAUUAACAUUGAUUAACUGAGCUGAUCUAUGAAGUUAUAUAGUGCUGAUGUUCCAUAGUGUUUGUUGUGGAUCAAACAGACAGAUUAAAUUUUGUCCAUUACAGAUCAGGGCUUACCCGUAUUGUACAUAGUGUUGAUUUCUGCUGCUGGAUAUCUGUUGAUUGUAGCUGUAGUCGUGAUCUUCUGGGUCUGCAAGAAAUUCACAAAAACUGAUCAAGAGGGCAAGUGUCGUCUUAUUUUAAACACAUAUUAUAACUCAAUUAAUAAUCUAUUAAAAUUCCAAAGUAAUGUGUAGUUUACUGGGUUUGGCAAUUUCUGUAUUUUAGUCAUAUCAGAAUAUAUGCAUAAUGACACCAGCAGAGCUC